RNAcentral lists this ribosomal RNA (465 nucleotides) under uncultured bacterium. RNAcentral's name for it is "partial 16S ribosomal RNA". It matches the Rfam family "Bacterial small subunit ribosomal RNA", at positions 338 to 795 of the family's 1533-position model. The record is from RNAcentral.
CCUACGGGGGGCAGCAGUAGGGAAUCUUCGGCAAUGGACGAAAGUCUGACCGAGCAACGCCGCGUGAGUGAAGAAGGUUCUCGGAUCGUAAAACUCUGUUGGUAGAGAAGAACGUUGCUGCGAGUGGAAAGCUCCUCAAGUGACGGUAACUACCCAGAAAGGUACGGCAAACUACGUGCCAGCAGCCGCGGUAAUACGUAGGUCCCGAGCGUUGUCCGGAUUUAUUGGGCGAAAGGCGAGCGCAGGUGGUUUAUUAAGUCUGGGGUAAAAGGCAGAGGCUCAACCAUUGUAUGCAUUGGAAACUGGUAGACUUGAGUGAAGGAGAGGAGAGUGGAAUUCCAGGUGUAGCGGUGAAAUGCGUAGAUAUAUGGAGGAACACCGGUGGCGAAAGCGGCACACUGGCCUGUAACUGACGCUGAGGCACGAAAGCGUGGGGAGCAAACAGGAUUAGAUACCCGAGUAGUC